Molecule: ribosomal RNA, 253 nt
Filed under: uncultured bacterium
Lineage: Bacteria
Description: partial 16S ribosomal RNA
Rfam family: Bacterial small subunit ribosomal RNA
Source: RNAcentral
UACAGAGGGGGCAAGCGUUGUUCGGAAUUACUGGGCGUAAAGGGCGCGUAGGCGGCCUGUUAAGUCGAACGUGAAAUCCCCGGGCUCAACCUGGGCACUGCAGUUAGAACUGGCAAGCUAGAGUAGGGUAGAGGGGUGUGGAAUUCCAGGUGUAGCGGUGAAAUGCGUAGAUAUCUGGAGGAACAUCAGUGGCGAAGGCGACACCCUGGACUCAUACUGACACUGAGGUGCGAAAGCGUGGGGAGCAAACAGG